GCCUCCCGAAUUGUAGUCUAGAAAGGCGCCAUCGGCCGCGACCGUCGCUAAAAUCCGCUGGAACGCGGUAUCGGAGAAGGUGAGAAUCCUGUGCCGUGGCGGUCCGCGGCCGCACGAUGCGCCCUUGCAGAGUCGGGUUGCUUGGGAUUGCAGCUUGAAGUGGGUGGUAAAUUCCAUCUAAAGCUAAAUACUGGCUCAUGACCGAUAGCGAACAAGUACCGUGAGGGAAAGAUGCAAAGAACUUUGAAAAGAGAGUUAAAGAGUGCUUGAAAUCGGAGUGAGGAAACCCGUUUGCACCCGGCUUCGCGCCGUCGACUCAGCCGUCUCGAAGCGGUGCACUUUGUCGGCGCGGGUCCGGCGCGACUGCUCGCAGCUCACAACCGCCGGGUGGGCUUUCUGUGACCCCGGAGAUGCGUUGCUUGCGGUCCCGCCGGACGGAACGGGUGCAACCGACCCGUCUAGAAACACGGACCAAGGAGUCUGACACGUGUGCGAGUACCCGGGUGGCAAGCCCGCGUGCGCAAUGAAAGUGAAGGGCGUUCGGCGCCAACCGACCUUGAUCUUCUGUGAAGGGUUUGAGUGGAGCACAUCUGUCGGGACCCGAAAGAUGGUGAACUAUGCCUGAGGAGGGUGAAGCCAGAGGAAACUCUGGUGGAGGCUCGUAGCGAUACUGACGUGCAAAUCGUUCGUCGAACUUGGGUAUAGGGGCGAAAGACUAAUCGAACCAUCUAGUAGCUGGUUCCCUCCGAAGUUUCCCUCAGGAUAGCUUGAACGCCGACGGUUUUGU
RNAcentral lists this ribosomal RNA (787 nucleotides) under Haptophyta environmental samples. Its description in RNAcentral is "eukaryotic LSU rRNA". It matches the Rfam family "Eukaryotic large subunit ribosomal RNA", at positions 133 to 1004 of the family's 3401-position model. Lineage: Eukaryota; Haptophyta. The record is from RNAcentral.